This 624-nucleotide ribosomal RNA is filed under the name uncultured bacterium. RNAcentral describes it as "bacterial SSU rRNA". It matches the Rfam family "Bacterial small subunit ribosomal RNA", at positions 65 to 735 of the family's 1533-position model. The record is from RNAcentral.
AGCGAGACCUUCGGGUCUAGCGGCGGACGGGUUAGUAACGCGUGGGAACGUGCCCUUUACUACGGAAUAGUCCCGGGAAACUGGGUUUAAUACCGUAUACGCCCUUCGGGGGAAAGAUUUAUCGGUAAAGGAUCGGCCCGCGUUGGAUUAGGUAGUUGGUGGGGUAAUGGCCUACCAAGCCGACGAUCCAUAGCUGGUUUGAGAGGAUGAUCAGCAACACUGGGACUGAGACACGGCCCAGACUCCUACGGGAGGCAGCAGUGGGGAAUCUUAGACAAUGGGGGCAACCCUGAUCCAGCCAUGCCGCGUGAGUGAAGAAGGCCUUAGGGUCGUAAAGCUCUUUCGCCAGGGAUGAUAAUGACAGUACCUGGUAAAGAAACCCCGGCUAACUCCGUGCCAGCAGCCGCGGUAAUACGGAGGGGGUUAGCGUUGUUCGGAAUUACUGGGCGUAAAGCGCACGUAGGCGGACUUGAAAGUUGGGGGUGAAAUCCCGGGGCUCAACCUCGGAACUGCCUUCAAAACUCCAAGUCUAGAGUUCGAGAGAGGUGAGUGGAAUUCCGAGUGUAGAGGUGAAAUUCGUAGAUAUUCGGAGGAACACCAGUGGCGAAGGCGGCUCACUGGCUC